This 406-nucleotide ribosomal RNA is filed under the name uncultured bacterium. Its description in RNAcentral is "bacterial SSU rRNA". It matches the Rfam family "Bacterial small subunit ribosomal RNA", at positions 355 to 776 of the family's 1533-position model. The record is from RNAcentral.
UGGGGAAUAUUGCGCAAUGGGCGAAAGCCUGACGCAGCAACGCCGCGUGCGGGAUGAAGGCCUUCGGGUUGUAAACCGCUUUCAGUGGGGACGAAUUCAGACGGUACCCACAGAAGAAGCCCCGGCCAACUACGUGCCAGCAGCCGCGGUAACACGUAGGGGGCGAGCGUUGUCCGGAUUUAUUGGGCGUAAAGAGCUCGUAGGCGGCUAAGUAAGUGAGGUGUGAAAACUCCAGGCUCAACCUGGAGACGCCACCUCAUACUGCUUUGGCUAGAGUCCGGUAGGGGAGCAUGGAAUUCCUGGUGUAGCGGUGAAAUGCGCAGAUAUCAGGAGGAACACCAGUGGCGAAGGCGGUGCUCUGGGCCGGUACUGACGCUGAGGAGCGAAAGCGUGGGGAGCAAACAGG